AAGUCGUAACAAGGUUUCCGUAGGUGAACCUGCGGAAGGAUCAUUAACACUUAAACCCCCCUGUGAACUUUUAUACUUGCUCUCCUAGCCCGCCGGAAUUGCAAUCCCUGGGAAAUCAUUGUUGAACAGAUUUUGUCAGUUUGGUAGGCGAAGAGCGAGCGAUCGUUGCAAGUGGCCUGGUUUCCCCAAGCAGUCAGUGUCUGGAAGUGUCAUUGAUUGUAAGGAUAACGCUUUUCGAUCACUAGAGGCCGAACACCGGCCGGUGACCAGCUCGCCGUGGCUUCGGCCUCGUAGGAAACUGCUGGGCAACAAAACGAACAACUGUUAACAAUGGUAAUCUUGGUUCUC
Molecule: unclassified non-coding RNA, 348 nt
Filed under: fungal sp.
Lineage: Eukaryota; Fungi
Description: partial internal transcribed spacer region
Rfam family: Eukaryotic small subunit ribosomal RNA (bases 1-46)
Source: RNAcentral